This is a long non-coding RNA of Zea mays, 2145 nucleotides long. RefSeq lists it as uncharacterized. The record is from RefSeq and is a predicted model, not a curated record. Lineage: Eukaryota; Viridiplantae; Streptophyta; Magnoliopsida; Poales; Poaceae. The transcript is spliced from 8 exons.
CUGAUGCUGGCUGCUCCCGCCUGGCCGCCUCCCUGCUGCUUGCUCUCGUGCUUCACUACUCAGUGCUCGCUCUCCAGCCUCCAGCUCAAGUGCUCGGCGGACAAACUAAGAAAAGCACUUGCUGAACCUGUGGAGUCUCUAUUUGAUGAUGCAGACCAAACAACCUAGCAAUCAAUAAGAAACAUUUACAAAUGUGAGACAAAGGCCAUCCUACCAGAGUUUCUGAAUAACCUUUGUCAGUUUGAAAUGGAAUACGCUCCAGCAGAAGAAAUGGUAUCCAAAUUAAAGGAUUAUGCCCGGAGUGUUGUGGAAAGUAAAGCUAAAGAGGAAUCUAGCAAAGUAUUGAUCCAUAUGAAGGAGAGGUUCACAACAGUGUUUAGCCAUGACAAGGAUUCAAUUUCAAGGGUCUGGACAGGAAAGGAAGAUGUUCGUGCAAUAGCAAAGGAAGCUCGAUCUGCGGCUCUCAAACUUCUGUCUGUAAUGGCGGCCAUUCGCUGGGAUGACGAGCCAGAUAGGAUUGAAAGCAUCCUCACUUCAACACUUCUGGAAGGCUCUGUUGUAUCAAAGAUUGCAAGUGCUGCUUCUGCUGAUCCACUUGCUUCUACCACUUGGGAAGAGAUUCCUCCAAAGCAUACAAUGAUUACCCCGUCUCAGUGCAAGUCACUGUGGAAACAAUUUAAAGCAGAAACUGAGUUCACGAUUACAAGCAGUAUCCACACAGCAAGCUCACAGGCGCGAUAAUAGUAAACUGCCUCCUCCUUGGGCAAUCGUGGCCAUUGCUAUUCUUGGUUUCAAUGAGAUCAUGGUGCUUAUUAGGAAUCCCAUUUAUCUGUUCUUGCUAUUUGUGGGCUACUUGAUGGUCAAAGCUUUGGCGAUGCAGCUAGAUGUCAGCAGAGAAUUCCAGAAUGGAGUGGUUCCUGGGAUAAUCUCUGUGUCGGUGAAGCUCCUACCAACGAUACAGAACCUGCUUUCUAAGUUAAGUUAUUUUGUUUAAACCUCACGAGACAUUUAACCAUUUGCAUAAUUAAACCUCACAAAUGCAUUGUUUAUUGAAAAAUGCAUGUUACCAUUUGAAUGCACUAGAUGCUAGUUGGGUGCAUGAUAGAUUCAUUGGUUCUGCCCUCUCUUUAGAAAGCCAUUUGAUAUUAUGUUAGUUUUUUCCCUCCUGUUGGAAACUGCAUGUUGGCCCCACAUGAUAGAUGUGGUACCAUCCCAGUAUGCUGCUUGACAAGUCCCUAGUUUUUAACAGAAUCAAGUUCAGUCUCUAAGUUUCAUGGUCACCUCUCUUUUUCAGACCACAUAACCAACUCUAGAGGCCCUUUCACAUGUGUUGUAUUUAUAGCUUCUGGUUAAGGAGCAAAAGGGGGGGGAUUGCAUCAUGCAUUCUUCCUUUGUUCUAUUCACCUCUUGCUAUUACUGGUUGUUCAGACAGUGGGGUCUUGGGGUCGACCUUACAUUGUGUUUGCCCAGGCCAUCCUAUUUGUUUUCAAUACCCAACAUAGAAAUGGGAAGUUUGGUCUUAAAGACAGCUUUUUUGGACACUCAAAUAACUGACCAUAUUUACUUAGCAGUCAACACCUUCUAGCUUAGUUUUUUCCCUUGAACAUGUAAAACUGUAUGUCAUUGCAUUAAGAGAAAGUAAGGCCAAAAUAGCAAAAAUACAACGACCUUACAUUCUUACACUAUCACGACAACCAGAACAAACACCUUACAUUACCAUGCAUGACCAGAACAACCUUACGUGACCUUACAACCAAAACAACAACCUUAUGUGACCAAAACAACCACUAAAAGAUGACUUAAACAGCCUUAAGCAACCAACUUGAUGCAAGGCAACAGAUGACAACGGCCAACCACAAACCGUAAGGGAUUUAGAUCCCAAUGGGUUUUGAGGAAAAUAUUUUUACAUUAAGCAAAACUCUGAACAGAAGUUAUGUGCUCUACAACUUCCUAUUUCUUCAGUUUGGCUAUUGUACUUAACAACAGUGUGUUGUAUGCUAUUCUAGUGGUGUUUGUAGAUCUUUUUCUUUUAUAUAAACAUGACAGCUAUCCCUUUAAAAUUUUCUAUAUUUAUUUCAUUAUUUUUUUAAUCUCAGUAUGCACCAACAUUUUUGGGAUUUUCUGUAGAUAUCAAUAUAUGAUUUA